Molecule: unclassified non-coding RNA, 1660 nt
Filed under: Homo sapiens (human)
Lineage: Eukaryota; Metazoa; Chordata; Mammalia; Primates; Hominidae
Description: aromatic-L-amino-acid decarboxylase transcript variant 17
Source: RNAcentral
AUGAACGCAAGUGAAUUCCGAAGGAGAGGGAAGGAGAUGGUGGAUUACAUGGCCAACUACAUGGAAGGCAUUGAGGGACGCCAGGUCUACCCUGACGUGGAGCCCGGGUACCUGCGGCCGCUGAUCCCUGCCGCUGCCCCUCAGGAGCCAGACACGUUUGAGGACAUCAUCAACGACGUUGAGAAGAUAAUCAUGCCUGGGGCGGCAAGCCCAGCAUGCACAGAGCUGGAGACUGUGAUGAUGGACUGGCUCGGGAAGAUGCUGGAACUACCAAAGGCAUUUUUGAAUGAGAAAGCUGGAGAAGGGGGAGGAGUGAUCCAGGGAAGUGCCAGUGAAGCCACCCUGGUGGCCCUGCUGGCCGCUCGGACCAAAGUGAUCCAUCGGCUGCAGGCAGCGUCCCCAGAGCUCACACAGGCCGCUAUCAUGGAGAAGCUGGUGGCUUACUCAUCCGAUCAGGCACACUCCUCAGUGGAAAGAGCUGGGUUAAUUGGUGGAGUGAAAUUAAAAGCCAUCCCCUCAGAUGGCAACUUCGCCAUGCGUGCGUCUGCCCUGCAGGAAGCCCUGGAGAGAGACAAAGCGGCUGGCCUGAUUCCUUUCUUUAUGGUUGCCACCCUGGGGACCACAACAUGCUGCUCCUUUGACAAUCUCUUAGAAGUCGGUCCUAUCUUUUGCAGAUUCAUUCAACUUUAAUCCCCACAAAUGGCUAUUGGUGAAUUUUGACUGUUCUGCCAUGUGGGUGAAAAAGAGAACAGACUUAACGGGAGCCUUUAGACUGGACCCCACUUACCUGAAGCACAGCCAUCAGGAUUCAGGGCUUAUCACUGACUACCGGCAUUGGCAGAUACCACUGGGCAGAAGAUUUCGCUCUUUGAAAAUGUGGUUUGUAUUUAGGAUGUAUGGAGUCAAAGGACUGCAGGCUUAUAUCCGCAAGCAUGUCCAGCUGUCCCAUGAGUUUGAGUCACUGGUGCGCCAGGAUCCCCGCUUUGAAAUCUGUGUGGAAGUCAUUCUGGGGCUUGUCUGCUUUCGGCUAAAGGGUUCCAACAAAGUGAAUGAAGCUCUUCUGCAAAGAAUAAACAGUGCCAAAAAAAUCCACUUGGUUCCAUGUCACCUCAGGGACAAGUUUGUCCUGCGCUUUGCCAUCUGUUCUCGCACGGUGGAAUCUGCCCAUGUGCAGCGGGCCUGGGAACACAUCAAAGAGCUGGCGGCCGACGUGCUGCGAGCAGAGAGGGAGUAGGAGUGAAGCCAGCUGCAGGAAUCAAAAAUUGAAGAGAGAUAUAUCUGAAAACUGGAAUAAGAAGCAAAUAAAUAUCAUCCUGCCUUCAUGGAACUCAGCUGUCUGUGGCUUCCCAUGUCUUUCUCCAAAGUUAUCCAGAGGGUUGUGAUUUUGUCUGCUUAGUAUCUCAUCAACAAAGAAAUAUUAUUUGCUAAUUAAAAAGUUAAUCUUCAUGGCCAUAGCUUUUAUUCAUUAGCUGUGAUUUUUGUUGAUUAAAACAUUAUAGAUUUUCAUGUUCUUGCAGUCAUCAGAAGUGGUAGGAAAGCCUCACUGAUAUAUUUUCCAGGGCAAUCAAUGUUCACGCAACUUGAAAUUAUAUCUGUGGUCUUCAAAUUGUCUUUUGUCAUGUGGCUAAAUGCCUAAUAAACAAUUCAAGUGAAAUACUAA